This 403-nucleotide ribosomal RNA is filed under the name uncultured bacterium. Its description in RNAcentral is "bacterial SSU rRNA". It matches the Rfam family "Bacterial small subunit ribosomal RNA", at positions 355 to 775 of the family's 1533-position model. The record is from RNAcentral.
UAGGGAAUAUUAGUAAUGGGCGAAAGCCUGAACUAGCAACGCCGCGUGUGCGAAGAAGGCCUUCGGGUUGUAAAGCACUUUUUGAGAGGAUGAGGAAGGACGGUACUCUCAGAAUAAGUCUCGGCUAACUACGUGCCAGCAGCCGCGGUAACACGUAGGAGGCAAACGUUAUCCGGAUUUACUGGGCGUAAAGCGCGUGUAGGUGGUUUGGUAAGUAGGGCGUGAAAGCUCCUGGCUCAACUGGGAGGGGCCGUUCUAAACUGCCGAACUAGAGGAUGGUAGAGGGAGGUGGAAUUCCGGAUGUAGCGGUGGAAUGCGCAGAUAUCCGGAGGAACAGCUGUGGCGAAAGCGGCCUCCUGGACCAUUCCUGACACUCAGACGCGAAAGCUAGGGUAGCAAACGG